GGAUCAAUUCCCAUUGGGUUUCUUACAGCCUAGGGCACAAAAAGAGGUCUAUAUAUAAACCCUUCUUCCAUAAAAAAGGGCAGAAGAUGAUACCCUAAACACACAGAAAAUUCCCAGCAAUAUUGUGAUCUAAAUAGCCCUGGUUCUACCCUUUUAUUUUCAUGUAUUAGAUCUUGAAAAACUCCAAAUUCUGGUUCAGAAAUGAGUUUAAUUUUGAGUUUUGAAAGUUGGUUUUUGGGUUGCUAAAGGAUUUCUACUGUUCCAUUGAACAUCUUUUGAGAUUUUGAAGGUUUGAAUUUCUGAAAUUACUAACUGAUUCUAAAAUCUAAGAUGAGCUGAGUUUUGGGUGUUUAAAGUUUGGUAUUAGAGUUAGCUGGGUUUAUUGUUAGAUUUGUUGGUUUUGAAUUGUUUCAAAUCAUUCAUUUGGGUUCUGCUGGUAUUGCUCCUGCUAUUUUGUUGUUGAUGACUCAUCUUGAGUUGUUAACUCUAAUUCUGAUUUUUGCUUUGUUAUAUUCAGGUACACACUCUGAUAACUAUGUAAAGGUUGAUUCAUAUAAUGAGAAGAGAUGAGGAUCUACUUGUUUGUUGGAUGUGUUAAUUGUCUCUUUUUUUUUCUUUAUUCGAAUAAUUAAUAAUUCUGCUUUUAAUGUUUAUACCCAUGUAAUGUUGUGAAUAUCUGAGACUCGUUUCCAUACUUGUAAUAAUUGGACUGUAGCUGUUUGGGAUACUAAGUGUAGAUGUAAGUGGAUUUAUUUUGCUCUUCUUUGGAAAUGUGUUUAGUUUGUAUCAAGUAAAGCAUAAAUGAGUCUUUUUUCGCCUAGUCAUUAGAUACAUAGUUCUGAGUGUUUAAUGCAUUGAGUGUCAAAUGUUAGGAAAGGUUGCACGAUUAAUACAUAUGGUGUAUGGAUACUGUUUAAUUUGAAGGUUUUGGCUAUAGUUUGAUUAGAAUCGUGAGCUUAGUAAUGGUAUUGAUUGUCAGCUGCCAUUUUCCUUUUAAGUGUAGUAAUUCCGCGACGAAUUUCAAUUUGGAAAGUAAAAUUUCACGUAUUAGCUUAGAAUUUUAUUGUAGAAUCAGUUAAUUGAAGUAUUAUUUACAUUAUGAAAUAGAAUUGAAUAUAUUUGGGCUAUUUAGAUUCGGAUACUCGUGGCAAAGGCGUGGUUUCGGGUUGAUUUGAGCUUGUUCGAGGUAAGUGACUUGUCUAACCUUAUGUAGGGGACCUUCUCUUUAGGAUUGAUGUAUUUGGUAAUUGAACUGCCUUGUACCUGAGGUGACGAGCGCGUACUUGUGCAAAUUAUUGAAAAUCUGGUUUUUUAAAAUACCUAUUAGUAUGUUUCUUCUCCUAUUUUAUUUACUUGUGUUGUUAAGCCUGCUGAUAGUUUAGGAAAGCAUGUCUAAGUGAUUUAAUGGCCUUAUCUGCUCAAUCUGUUUACUUGAACUCUGUGCCGUGUGCUAGGCUAGAAUUAACUGUUGCCUUAAUAUGAAGUUUCCCUUUUAUGAAUAUCUUCUUGCUGAUGUUGUGUAUUUACAUUGGGACUACGGAUUUGGAAUUCCGGUAGCUUCCCCUUGUUUGUUUACUUUGGGACUACGAGUUAGAUUCCCGGUAGAUCCUCUUGCACAUUUACUUUGGGACUGCGAGUUAGAUUUCUGAUAGAUCCCCCUGUACAGUUAUAUGAAACUACGAGAAUGCACCCGGUAGAUUCUCUCAGUACUGGGUAUUUACAUUUGGGAUUACGGAUCGGGAUUCCGGUAGAUCCCCGCGCAUUGAUAGUUGGACUACGGGACGGGAUCCCGAGAGAUCCUUCGGACAUAUAUAUAUGAUGGACUACGGGAUGGUAUCCCGAGAGAUCUACUGGACAGUUGUAAUUGGGACUUCAGGAUGGUAACCUGGAAGAUCCUUGGUUGGUAUUAUUGGAACAGAGCUGUAUUUUCCUUCGGUGUUUACAUUGUCCUUACGUGUACUGUGUAGUUGUUGUUGUUCUAUAUAUAUUGUGUUACUUUUAUUGUCAUUAUAUCUUUUAUUUAAUCUCGGUAGGGCCUUUACCUUCCUCCUCACUACCCUUCCGGGGUUAGACUUGGCACUUACUGACUACCGUUGUGAUGUACUCACGCUUCUUCGGCGCAUGUUUUUCAUAUGCAGAUCCAGAUACUUCUUCUCAUGCUUACCAUCCUUGAGGGAGGCGACUACUUAGAGACUUCGAGGUACAUUUACCGCGUCCGCAGACCGAGGAGUCCCUUUCUUUUCCUGCUUUCUAGUAUUUAGCCGUUAUGUACUUUCUUUUCUUAUUAGACAAAAUUAUGGAGUUAGAAUUAUGUAGUAUUCUCUUUUUCGUAGCUUGUGAUUCGUAGGUUUUCGGGUCUUGGAUUUGGAUAUUAUCUUUGAGUUUUAUAUAUGGUGUAUGCCGA
Molecule: long non-coding RNA, 2404 nt
Filed under: Nicotiana benthamiana
Lineage: Eukaryota; Viridiplantae; Streptophyta; Magnoliopsida; Solanales; Solanaceae
Description: long non-coding RNA (NBEN_LNC034114)
Source: RNAcentral